RNAcentral lists this ribosomal RNA (417 nucleotides) under Diclidophlebia fremontiae. RNAcentral describes it as "partial large subunit ribosomal RNA". The stretch from base 88 to 410 matches the Rfam family "Bacterial large subunit ribosomal RNA", at positions 2073 to 2647 of the family's 2925-position model. The record is from RNAcentral. Lineage: Eukaryota; Metazoa; Arthropoda; Insecta; Hemiptera; Liviidae.
GGCUUGUAUGAAUGGUUUGACGGAAAUUUAACUUUUUUUUAUUUAACUUGUUGAAUUUAUUUUUUGAGUUAAAAAACUUAAAUAUAAUAGAGGGACGAGAAGACCCUAUAGAAUUUAAUAUUAUUUUUGAAAAAAAAAUUUUUGGUUGGGGUGACAGAAAAUGAACUUUUUCAAAUUUAUUCAUAUUAAAUGAAUGAUUGAUCUUUAAUUUUAGAUAAAAAGAUAAAAUUACCUUAGGGAUAACAGCAUAAUUUUUUUUAAAAGAUCAUAUUAAUAAAAAAGAUUAUGACCUCGAUGUUGAAUUAAGAUAUUAUUUUGGUGCAGAAUUUAAAAUAAUUAGUCUGUUCGACUUUAAUUUUUACAUGAUUUGAGUUCAGACCGGCGUGAGCCAGGUUGGUUUCUAUCUUUUAAUAAUUU